This 495-nucleotide ribosomal RNA is filed under the name uncultured bacterium. Its description in RNAcentral is "bacterial SSU rRNA". It matches the Rfam family "Bacterial small subunit ribosomal RNA", at positions 30 to 507 of the family's 1533-position model. The record is from RNAcentral.
AUGAACGCUAGCGGCAGGCUUAAUACAUACAAGUUGAGGGGCAGCAUGAUAUACGCGAGUAUAUUGAUGGCGACCGGCGGACGGGUGAGUAAUAGGUAGGAGACCUACCUCAUACAGGGGGAUAGCAUAGAGAAAUCUGUGGUAAUACCCCAUGAGGUUAUAUGAAUAGAGGCAUAUAAUCAAAGCAUAAGCGAUUAUGCGGUAUGAGAGGGGCCUACUGACCAUUAGCUAGUUGGUGAGGUAAGGGCUCACCAAGGCGAAGAUGGUUAGGGGUUUUGAGAGAGAGACCCCCCACAUUGGAACUGAGAGACGGUCCAGACUCCUACGGGAGGCAGCAGUAGGGAAUAUUGGGCAAUGGGCGAAAGCCUGACCCAGCCAUGCCGCGUGAAGGAAGACGGCCUUAUGGGUUGUAAACUUCUUUACUACGCGAAUAGAGGUUAGUACGAGAUACUAAUAGGAAGGUAGUGUAGUAAAAAAGCACCGGCUAACUCCGUG